AGACUCCUACGGGAGGCAGCAGUGGGGAAUAUUGGACAAUGGGCGAAAGCCUGAUCCAGCCAUGCCGCGUGUGUGAAGAAGGUCUUCGGAUUGUAAAGCACUUUAAGUUGGGAGGAAGGGCAGUAAGUUAAUACCUUGCUGUUUUGACGUUACCGACAGAAUAAGCACCGGCUAACUCUGUGCCAGCAGCCGCGGUAAUACAGAGGGUGCAAGCGUUAAUCGGAAUUACUGGGCGUAAAGCGCGCGUAGGU
Molecule: ribosomal RNA, 251 nt
Filed under: Pseudomonas sp. CAH-1
Lineage: Bacteria; Pseudomonadati; Pseudomonadota; Gammaproteobacteria; Pseudomonadales; Pseudomonadaceae
Description: partial 16S ribosomal RNA
Rfam family: Bacterial small subunit ribosomal RNA
Source: RNAcentral